GAAGCGGGCAACAGCUCAAAUUUUGAAAUCUGGCCCCUUUCGGGGUCCGAGUUGUAAUUUGUAGAGAGUGUUUCGGGCGAGACCACGGUCUAAGUUCAUUGGAACAUGGCGUCAUAGAGGGUGAGAAUCCCGUAUGUGACUGUGGAUCGAGCCCAUSUGAAGCCUCUUCGACGAGUCGAGUUGUUUGGGAAUGCAGCUCAAAAUGGGUGGUAAAUUUCAUCUAAAGCUAAAUACUGGCUGGAGACCGAUAGCGCACAAGUAGAGUGAUCGAAAGAUGAAAAGCACUUUGGAAAGAGAGUCAAACAGUACGUGAAAUUGUUGAAAGGGAAGCGCUUGCAACCAGACCUGUCCGUAGGUGAUCAGCCGCUGUUCUCAGUGGUGCACUCGCUCUGCGAUCAGGCCAGCAUCGGUUCGGGCGGUCGGAUAAAGGCCUUGGGAAUGUAGCUUCCUUCGGGGAGUCUUAUAGCCCUCGGUGCAAUGCGGCCASCCGGGACCGAGGACCGCGCUUCGGCUAGGAUGCUGGCGUAAUGGUUGUAAGCGACCCGUCUUGAAACACGGACCAAGGAGUCUAACAUMUAUGCGAGUGUUUGGGUGUUAAACCCMUGCGCGGAAUGAAAGUGAACGGAGGUGAGAACCCUUAAGGGCGCAUCAUCGACCGAUCCAGAUGUCUUCGGAUGGAUUUGAGUAUGAGCAUAGCUGUUGGGACCCGAAAGAUGGUGAACUAUGCCUGAAUAGGGUGAAGCCAGAGGAAACUCUGGUGGAGGCUCGCAGCGGUUCUGACGUGCAAAUCGAUCGU
Molecule: ribosomal RNA, 796 nt
Filed under: Hypogymnia physodes
Lineage: Eukaryota; Fungi; Ascomycota; Lecanoromycetes; Lecanorales; Parmeliaceae
Description: partial large subunit ribosomal RNA
Rfam family: Eukaryotic large subunit ribosomal RNA
Source: RNAcentral